This 327-nucleotide unclassified non-coding RNA is filed under the name soil metagenome. RNAcentral describes it as "partial contains 5.8S ribosomal RNA, internal transcribed spacer 2, and large subunit ribosomal RNA". The stretch from base 1 to 120 matches the Rfam family "5.8S ribosomal RNA", at positions 35 to 154 of the family's 154-position model. The record is from RNAcentral.
GAUGAAGAACGCAGUGAAAUGCGAUAAGUAGUGUGAAUUGCAGAAUUCAGUGAAUCAUCGAAUCUUUGAACGCACAUUGCGCCCCUUGGUAUUCCGAGGGGCAUGCCUGUUCGAGCGUCAUUAUCACCCCUCAAGCUUUGCUUGGUGUUGGGGCCUGCUGUAAUAGGCAGCCCUUAAAAUCAGUGGCGGUGCUUCAAGGCUCUAAGCGUAGUAAUUCUCCUCGCUAUAGUGUCUAGUGGUUGCCAGCCAGAACCCCCCAAUUUUCAUGAUUGACCUCGGAUCAGGUAGGGAUACCCGCUGAACUUAAGCAUAUCAAUAAGCGGAGGA